AGGGAAUCUUCCGCAAUGGACGAAAGUCUGACGGAGCAACGCCGCGUGAGUGAUGAAGGUUUUCGGAUCGUAAAGCUCUGUUGCCAGGGAAGAACGUCUUCUGGAGUAACUGCCAGGAGAGUGACGGUACCUGAGAAGAAAGCCCCGGCUAACUACGUGCCAGCAGCCGCGGUAAUACGUAGGGGGCAAGCGUUGUCCGGAAUUAUUGGGCGUAAAGCGCGCGCAGGCGGCUGGUUCAGUCUGGUGUUUAAUCCUGGGGCUCAACCCCGGGUCGCACUGGAAACUGGACGGCUUGAGUGCAGAAGAGGAGAGUGGAAUUCCACGUGUAGCGGUGAAAUGCGUAGAGACGUGGAGGAACACCAGUGGCGAAGGCGACUCUCUGGGCUGUAACUGACGCUGAGGCGCGAAAGCGUGGGGAGCAAAC
This 424-nucleotide ribosomal RNA is filed under the name uncultured bacterium. Its description in RNAcentral is "bacterial SSU rRNA". It matches the Rfam family "Bacterial small subunit ribosomal RNA", at positions 356 to 773 of the family's 1533-position model. The record is from RNAcentral.